GGAGGAUGACUCAGACGGUUACGAGAACGGUUUGCUAAACCGUGACCCCUUUAAAGGGUCCAGAGGGUUCGACCCCCUCAUCCUCCG
RNAcentral lists this transfer RNA (87 nucleotides) under Candidatus Levyibacteriota bacterium. RNAcentral's name for it is "tRNA-Ser". It matches the Rfam family "tRNA". From Rfam's summary of the family: Transfer RNA (tRNA) molecules are approximately 80 nucleotides in length. Their secondary structure includes four short double-helical elements and three loops (D, anti-codon, and T loops). The record is from RNAcentral. Lineage: Bacteria; Candidatus Levyibacteriota.